UUUAGGGAUCAUCGGAAAACUGAGCCUCUGACAGUUCUUUAUGUUUUUGCAGUUUCUGGCUUGAAUAACUGGUUUAAAUCCGUAAAGAAGUUAUUAUCCCUUUCUAUGUUCAGAGGAUUAAAUACACAAACCGGUAGAAGAAGGCAAACAAAGAGCUGCCAGAUAUGCUCAGAAAUAAAUCAGAGGUUAAAAUUCUGGUUUUAUGUUCGUGUCUGGAGCUGAAAUUUAAAUUCAACAAAUCUUCCUUCUGCAUCUGGAGACACACAAUGAAAGAAAUCAUUCCACCUGACCAGCAUAAAGAACACUAAUUUCAAGACAAUAACGUGGUUUGUUGGGGCAGAAUGUCCAAUUUCUUUCCCCUGUUGUGAUAAAAUAGAGUUUUUAAGCGUCCAGUCGUCCACAGACCAUCCAGCGGGACCACACUGAAUGCUAACCCGGCUAAUUACUUCCAGCCAGCCUCUCCUCUGACAAACACAGCAACAAUAUGAGUUGUCUCUCCUGUGAAUGCCAAGUACCCAGAGCUGAAUGAGAGCAUUUAUUACCCUUUUUAAUUAUCAAAUAGCAGGAUGUCUCUCUGAAUGCCGGUUCCCUGUAAACAACUUCUCCCUUCAAGCAAAGCACGCAGUAAUUAAACCCAAGAAGACGGCUAGCGAGGCCGGUACAGGAGAUAUUUACUGCUGUAUAGUGUGGCUUCACUUUGUUUGGCCAGCAGAGUAAAGAUGUGAUGUCAUAAUAACUGAGUGAGUCUGUAAAGUUGUGUUUGCUGUUUGCCGUGGAGGAUUUCCUCUCGGGAACGAAUCAGUUGCUGUAUGAUUACAGGGUUUAAACAGGUAAACGGAUCAGUCACAUUCGUGCCGUAUCAGUUCUGAAACCGGCUAUUUAAUCCUAAUGUACCGAUAAAUGAACGAUUUACAGACAGGCCUCAUGUUCAUCCUUCAUGCACCUUUACACACCUUUUUCAGACAAAAGUCACUCUAACGCGCCACACAUGAGAGGUUAAGUCGUCUUAUCUUAUGAUUAGAAUGACUUGGAGCUGUCUAAGUGGCAGCCAUGACGUUCAAAUAACUGCCUCAGUUCUCUAAAUGAUAAAGAAAGGAGCAGCACUUCUUCCUUUUUGAAACCUUUGUUAGCAUCAGAUGGUCCAUCCUUUAGGAGCAAAGGAAAACAGGUAAAGCAGUUCUAUAAAUCCUGGGAUUCAAAGUGAUGCACAUCCAAUAAUAUCUGCUGCUGUGUGAUUAGAUAUUGCUAAACCUCGCUGUAGUUGCUGUGGUUCACAUGUUUUCUGGACCUCAUGAUGUUUUCCAUCGAGGUUAAAGUGCAGCAGUAAUUAAGAGCCGUAAGAUGUUGUUUUUUACUGUUUUUACUGUUUUUACUGUGUUUGCUGCACUAAUAAAAGCCUCUUGGUACUUUAUUAUUUCAGCAGAAAGGUGGAAAUACCUCAUGAUCUGUUUAAACUGGUGUGUUCUGCUGUUGACUUGGUGAGAAUUAGCUGGUUAACUCAGUUUUCUAUGAGCAAGACUACAUGUCUGCAGCGGCCCUGUAAGACUUUAUGGAGGCGGAGCUGUGAGCUAAAAGCUAACUAUGUGCAGGUGAGCAGGUGAAGCAGGUGAACAGGUGGAACAGGUGAGCAGGUGAACAGGUGAACAGGUGAACAGGUGAGCAGGUGAACAGGUGAACAGGUGAACAGGUGAGCAGGUGAACAGGUGAACAGGUGAGCAGGUGAACAGGUGAACAGGUGAGCAGGUGAACAGGUGAACAGGUGAACAGGUGAGCAGGUGAACAGGUGAACAGGUGAACAGGUGAACAGGUGAGCAGGUGAACAGGUGAA
Acanthochromis polyacanthus (spiny chromis) is the source of this 1828-nucleotide long non-coding RNA. RefSeq lists it as uncharacterized. The transcript has 4 exons. The record is from RefSeq and is a predicted model, not a curated record. Lineage: Eukaryota; Metazoa; Chordata; Actinopteri; Pomacentridae.